RNAcentral lists this long non-coding RNA (1016 nucleotides) under Homo sapiens (human). RNAcentral describes it as "long intergenic non-protein coding RNA 1673". The record is from RNAcentral. Lineage: Eukaryota; Metazoa; Chordata; Mammalia; Primates; Hominidae.
AGGAGACAGAUGAAUUUCUCAUUCUUGUAGGCUACCAUUUCUUUUGGCUUAUUACAAAACAACAGGAUGCUGCAGCUUUAUCAAAGUCUACUUAUUUGUCCACUAAAAGUUUAUGGCUAUACGUUUCCAACUAGAACAUCUGAACACCAAUAUAUGGAAUUCUGACAAAGUUAAAACCAGGAAGAGAUCCUAUGAAGGCUGACAUUUUGUACAUCUGUUUUAUAGAACAAUAAAAAUAAGAAGAACAAGAAUAAGAACAGCAACAACAUUUGCAGCCACUGUCUAGACCACAGGAAACCUGGUCAACAACAUAUGGGAUGUCACCAGAUUCAGACUCAGAAGUUUCCAUAAUGCCGUUGCCAACAGCUAGACACAGUAUAUGAUCAAUUCUCACCAAUACCACCAAUAUCACCAAUAGAUAAUGAGGACUGGAACUCUUUAUCUCUAAAAGAUGACCUGAAACACUAUGGAAAAGGAAGAUGCAUUACAACACACUAUCAAAGCAUCAUUUUCAGAUACACUGAGUCCAUCUUCUCAUGGACAUGAUGACAUAGAUGAAGAAACGGCUAUAUAGAGAGAUAAAGAAGCUUGCUCAAGGAUACACAGCCAGAAAGCAAAAGAGUUGGAGUUUGAACUUCGACAGUCUAACUCGAGGUUCUUUCUCUGUGUUUAAUCAGUCAACCACACUGCCUCUUCAGAAGCACGCAUAAUUAGGUGAUCUCCCACCAGAGUGUACCAACAAGUGGAUCGGUCAAGAUAAAUCAUUACAGUGUGUCGAGAAACUAUUAGAACACCUAUUUAAAGGCAGUCUUAAUUUUUCUUAAGUUCUAAAAGCAUAAAUGAAUGUCAAUAUUUAUAUGUGUAAGCUGUUAAAAAUUACAACAAAUACUCUAAUGCUUAUCAACAACCCUGGUAACUAAAACAUCAGCAAUAUUUCUGAGUUUCUCUUCAAAUUCAUCUUCUCUUUUCUGCUGUUUGUCUCUUUCCCAAAGUAUACAUUGGUAAUAAAACUGAAA